RNAcentral lists this ribosomal RNA (496 nucleotides) under uncultured bacterium. RNAcentral's name for it is "partial 16S ribosomal RNA". It matches the Rfam family "Bacterial small subunit ribosomal RNA", at positions 28 to 506 of the family's 1533-position model. The record is from RNAcentral.
GAUGAACGCUGGCGGCGUGCCUAAUACAUGCAAGUCGAGCGAACGGACGAGAAGCUUGCUUCUCUGAUGUUAGCGGCGGACGGGUGAGUAACACGUGGAUAACCUACCUAUAAGACUGGGAUAACUUCGGGAAACCGGAGCUAAUACCGGAUGAUAUUUUGAACCGCAUGGUUCAAAAGUGAAAGACGGUCUUGCUGUCACUUAUAGAUGGAUCCGCGCUGCAUUAGCUAGUUGGUAAGGUAACGGCUUACCAAGGCAACGAUGCAUAGCCGACCUGAGAGGGUGAUCGGCCACACUGGAACUGAGACACGGUCCAGACUCCUACGGGAGGCAGCAGUAGGGAAUCUUCCGCAAUGGGCGAAAGCCUGACGGAGCAACGCCGCGUGAGUGAUGAAGGUCUGCGGAUCGUAAAACUCUGUUAUUAGGGAAGAACAUAUGUGUAAGUAACUGUGCACAUCUUGACGGUACCUAAUCAGAAAGCCACGGCUAACUACGU